CCUACGGGUGGCAGCAGUGGGGAAUAUUGGACAAUGGGGGGAACCCUGAUCCAGCGACGCCGCGUGAGUGAAGAAGUAUUUCGGCAUGUAAAGCUCUAUCAGCAGGGAAGAAAGAAAUGACGGUACCUGACUAAGAAGCCCCGGCUAACUACGUGCCAGCAGCCGCGGUAAUACGUAGGGGGCAAGCGUUAUCCGGAUUUACUGGGUGUAAAGGGAGCGUAGACGGCGAUGCAAGUCUGAAGUGAAAGGCGGGGGCCCAACCCCCGGACUGCUUUGGAAACUGUAUGGCUGGAGUGCAGGAGAGGUAAGUGGAAUUCCUAGUGUAGCGGUGAAAUGCGUAGAUAUUAGGAGGAACACCAGUGGCGAAGGCGGCUUACUGGACUGUAACUGACGUUGAGGCUCGAAAGCGUGGGGAGCAGACAGGAUUAGAUACCCCGGUAGUC
Molecule: ribosomal RNA, 443 nt
Filed under: uncultured bacterium
Lineage: Bacteria
Description: partial 16S ribosomal RNA
Rfam family: Bacterial small subunit ribosomal RNA
Source: RNAcentral